Molecule: ribosomal RNA, 432 nt
Filed under: uncultured bacterium
Lineage: Bacteria
Description: bacterial SSU rRNA
Rfam family: Bacterial small subunit ribosomal RNA
Source: RNAcentral
UGAGGAAUAUUGGUCAAUGGGCGGGAGCCUGAACCAGCCAAGCCGCGUGAGGGAUGAAGGCCCUAUGGGUCGUAAACCUCUUUUGUCAGGGAACAAAAGCGAGUACGUAUACUUGUCUGAGUGUACCUGAAGAAAAAGCAUCGGCUAACUCCGUGCCAGCAGCCGCGGUAAUACGGAGGAUGCGAGCGUUAUCCGGAUUUAUUGGGUUUAAAGGGUGCGUAGGCGGCGGUGCAAGUCAGCGGUAAAAGCCCGGGGCUCAACCCCGGCGAGCCGUUGAAACUGCAGUGCUAGAGAAGGCGAGAGGUACGCGGAAUGCGCGUGUAGCGGUGAAAUACUUAGAUAUUGCGCAGAACUCCGAUUGCGAAGGCAGCGUACUGGCGCCUGACUGACGCUGAGGCACGAAAGCGUGGGGAUCGAACAGGAUUAGAUACC